CAGUAGCCGCGGGAAUACAGAGGGUGCAAGCGUUAAUCGGAUUUACUGGGCGUAAAGGGCGCGUAGGUGGUUAUUUAAGUGAGAUGUGAAAGCCCCGGGCUUAACCUGGGAACUGCAUCUUAUACUGGGUAACUGGAGUGCAGUAGAGGGUAGUGGAAUUUCCGGUGUAGCGGUGAAAUGCGUAGAUAUCGGAAGGAACACCAGUGGCGAAGGCGGCUACCUGGACUGAGACUGACACUGAGGCGCGAGAGCGUGGGGAGCAAACAGGAUUAGAGACCCGCGUAGUCCCUGUCUCUUAUAC
RNAcentral lists this ribosomal RNA (301 nucleotides) under uncultured bacterium. RNAcentral describes it as "partial 16S ribosomal RNA". It matches the Rfam family "Bacterial small subunit ribosomal RNA", at positions 509 to 807 of the family's 1533-position model. The record is from RNAcentral.